This 490-nucleotide ribosomal RNA is filed under the name uncultured bacterium. RNAcentral describes it as "partial 16S ribosomal RNA". It matches the Rfam family "Bacterial small subunit ribosomal RNA", at positions 30 to 507 of the family's 1533-position model. The record is from RNAcentral.
UGAACGCUGGCGGUAGGCCUAACACAUGCAAGUCGAGCGGCAGCACAGUAAGAGCUUGCUCUUACGGGUGGCGAGUGGCGGACGGGUGAGGAAUACAUCGGAAUCUACUUUUUCGUGGGGGAUAACGUAGGGAAACUUACGCUAAUACCGCAUACGACCUACGGGUGAAAGCAGGGGAUCUUCGGACCUUGCGCGAUUGAAUGAGCCGAUGUCGGAUUAGCUAGUUGGCGGGGUAAAGGCCCACCAAGGCGACGAUCCGUAGCUGGUCUGAGAGGAUGAUCAGCCACACUGGAACUGAGACACGGUCCAGACUCCUACGGGAGGCAGCAGUGGGGAAUAUUGGACAAUGGGCGCAAGCCUGAUCCAGCCAUACCGCGUGGGUGAAGAAGGCCUUCGGGUUGUAAAGCCCUUUUGUUGGGAAAGAAAAGCAGCAGGUUAAUACCCCGCUGUUCUGACGGUACCCAAAGAAUAAGCACCGGCUAACUUCGUG